UCUCAAGCCUGGUUCUCAGAGCUUCGUAGUGUCGCCAGCGACAGUUCUCCAGCCAAUCAGAGCAUGUAAACAAAACUUCCCCUGACCCCUUCCUUUUCAUUUCUGGUUGUCGAGAAGUGUCGCGACACGCCCCUUUUGUAGUUGAAAUAUUCCAACUACACCUGGAAUUUCUGCGACAAUCACAAUAAAUAUAACCUAUCUGUCAGCCGCAAAAACAGUUGUUUUUGAUUUUAGCUAUUCUUUUCACUAUUUUUUAAUCAUGGUAUAUUUUCCAUCUAAAUUCAGAAUGGAGUUUUUCUACAAGUAUACAGCUUUAUAUUCGUGGCGAAAGGCGAAAUAAAAUAAGGAGAAGAAGGUGGAUUCUCUAGGCCACUGCGGCAGAUAGGUAUUUAACUUCCUAAUGAACCAUGGGAGUUCACUGCUAUGUACUCCAUGAAUAUUCAUUUGACCAAUAGAUAUAUGAAAAUGAAUACAAAAAGUGCCUAUUUCAUUGAAAUUCCCAAAACAAAUCAAAAACUAGCUGAACGUUACUCACACAAAAUAAACAAGAUUGGAGGUUUUGAUCCAUUUGCCAUUUAAGAAAGAGAUAUACGAGGUUACAGUCCUGAUGGAAUAUUAUGAUAUUGUGGUUUUUCUAGUUUUCACAACCAGUUUUUAAACAAAUCAGCAAAUGAAAGCAUUUAAGCGCUUAUCAGCCUACAAAUGCUCGCAUUAUAUCUGGGUUUUGCUGUUUGAAACAAAAUAUUCUGUGAGAAGUUUUUCACAAAAGGGUCAGUACAGAUGAAUAGGUGUACAUGUAAAGAAGGGAAAAAUUACCAUUUUAUGAUAAAAUGCUGCUAUGAGGAUUGUGAAAUAUAUUGGAUCCGAUCCAUGCGGAAAGU
This is a long non-coding RNA of Coccinella septempunctata (seven-spotted ladybird), 881 nucleotides long. RefSeq lists it as uncharacterized. The record is from RefSeq and is a predicted model, not a curated record. Lineage: Eukaryota; Metazoa; Arthropoda; Insecta; Coleoptera; Coccinellidae. The transcript is spliced from 3 exons.